CGCGUAGGCGGUUUGUACAGUCAGGUGUGAAAUUCCCGGGCUCAACCUGGGGGCUGCACUUGAUACGUAUGGACUGGAGUGGGGAAGAGGGUCGUGGAAUUCCCAGUGUAGAGGUGAAAUUCGUAGAUAUUGGGAAGAACACCGGUGGCGAAGGCGGCGACCUGGUCCUUGACUGACGCUGAGGCGCGAAAGCGUGGGGAGAAAC
Molecule: ribosomal RNA, 205 nt
Filed under: uncultured bacterium
Lineage: Bacteria
Description: partial 16S ribosomal RNA
Rfam family: Bacterial small subunit ribosomal RNA
Source: RNAcentral